This 253-nucleotide ribosomal RNA is filed under the name uncultured bacterium. Its description in RNAcentral is "partial 16S ribosomal RNA". It matches the Rfam family "Bacterial small subunit ribosomal RNA", at positions 524 to 776 of the family's 1533-position model. The record is from RNAcentral.
UACGAAGGGGGCUAGCGUUGUUCGGAUUUACUGGGCGUAAAGCGCACGUAGGCGGAUUGCUAAGUCAGGGGUGAAAUCCUGGAGCUCAACUCCAGAACUGCCUUUGAUACUGGCGAUCUCGAGUCCGGGAGAGGUGAGUGGAACUGCGGGUGUAGAGGUGAAAUUCGUAGAUAUUCGCAAGAACACCAGUGGCGAAGGCGGCUCACUGGCCCGGUACUGACGCUGAGGUGCGAAAGCGUGGGGAGCAAACAGG